RNAcentral lists this unclassified non-coding RNA (248 nucleotides) under Glomeraceae sp. RNAcentral describes it as "partial contains 5.8S ribosomal RNA and internal transcribed spacer 2". The stretch from base 1 to 71 matches the Rfam family "5.8S ribosomal RNA", at positions 84 to 154 of the family's 154-position model. The record is from RNAcentral. Lineage: Eukaryota; Fungi; Glomeromycota; Glomeromycetes; Glomerales; Glomeraceae.
GUGAAUCAUCAAAUUUUUGAACGCAAAUUGCGCUUCCUAGCAUCCCGGGAAGUAUGCCUGUUUGAAGGUCAGUAUUAACAAAAAAUCGGUUUGGUUGCAAAUUGUUACGUUUCCGGAGGUUGGGCUAUCUUAACUUUUUUGGUUUAGGGGCUUAAAAUUGACCUUUUUUGCGCCUUUUUAGACGUACCUAAAUUUUUUUUUUAUUUGUCCAUUUUUAAUGCCAAAAUCUUAUUAGAUGCCAUCAACUC